GACUUCCUAACAACCUUCCUUUUUCGGCUGCGGUCCUCGACGAGUACAGAAGCUCACGUAUUAGUUCACGUGGAAAAUUUACACUAUCGUUUCUUUUACCUUUCCGGAUCUCGGACCUACCGUUUCGUAAAUUACCACAUAGUGACUUAUUUAGAAAUACCGCAUCUUUCUUUUUCGUCGUCCCUCACAGAGGGACCCUGGCUGAGGCAGAAAUAGUCCAUUGCGCAACCUGUACCCAUCGGGAUAUCUAGAAUUUAACCCUGUUCUACAAGUGGCUGAUUCGACACCAGCCUACCAAAGUUCCUACAAGAGGAACGCCUGGACCAAUUGACCUCGCCUAUCGAACGAUAAGUAUCCCUUAUCUCAUAAUUCGUAUACCGCUUCGAUUUUGGCAUUACACCCGUCGGGAUUUAUUGUACAAAUUUAUUUCCCUAUU
This is a long non-coding RNA of Tribolium castaneum (red flour beetle), 436 nucleotides long. RefSeq lists it as uncharacterized. The transcript is spliced from 2 exons. The record is from RefSeq and is a predicted model, not a curated record. NCBI's taxonomy places the organism in Eukaryota, Metazoa, Arthropoda, Insecta, Coleoptera, Tenebrionidae.